This 27-nucleotide non-coding RNA is filed under the name Bombyx mori (domestic silkworm). Lineage: Eukaryota; Metazoa; Arthropoda; Insecta; Lepidoptera; Bombycidae. The record is from RNAcentral.
UGGAUCAGGAAUUUCAGCUGAUAUGAU